RNAcentral lists this ribosomal RNA (440 nucleotides) under uncultured bacterium. Its description in RNAcentral is "partial 16S ribosomal RNA". It matches the Rfam family "Bacterial small subunit ribosomal RNA", at positions 338 to 795 of the family's 1533-position model. The record is from RNAcentral.
CCUACGGGCGGCAGCAGUAGGGAAUAUUGCUCAAUGGGGGAAACCCUGAAGCAGCAACGCCGCGUGGAGGAUGAAGGUUUUCGGAUUGUAAACUCCUUUUGGUAGAGAAGAAAAUGACGGUAUCUAACGAAUAACCACCGGCUAACUCCGGGACAACAGCCGCGGUAAUACGGAGGGUGCGAGCGUUACUCGGAAUCACUGGGCGUAAAGAGCGCGUAUGCGGGAUAGCAAGUCAGAUGUGAAAUCCUAUGGCUUAACCAUAGAACUGCAUUUGAAACUGGUAUUCUAGAGUAUGGGAGAGGUAGGUGGAAUUCUUGGUGUAGGGGUGAAAUCCGUAGAGAUCAAGAGGAAUACUCAUUGCGAAGGCGACCUGCUGGAACAUAACUGACGCUGAUGCGCGAAAGCGUGGGGAGCAAACAGGAUUAGAUACCCGGGUAGUC